GUCUUUUUGAGUUAUUUUUAAAGUCUGACCUGCCCACUGAAAUUAUUUAAAUGGCCGCAGUAUUCUAACUGUGCAAAGGUAGCAUAAUCAUUAGUCUUUUAAUUGAAGGCUGGUAUGAACGGUUGGACGAGGUAUAAGCUGUUUCAUAUAAAUUUAUAAUAGAAUUUUAUAUUUUAGUCAAAAAGCUAAAAUUUAAUUAAAAGACGAGAAGACCCUAUAAAUCUUUAUACUUUAUGUUGUUUAAAUUUUUUAGAUUUAUUUUGUUUUUAUAAUUUAAAGUAUUUUGUUGGGGUGAUAUUAAAAUUUAAUGAACUUUUAAUUAUUAAAAAUCAUUAAUUUAUGAAUUAUUGAUCCAUUAAUAGUGAUUAUAAGAUUAAGUUACUUUAGGGAUAACAGCGUAAUUUUUUUGGAGAGUUCAUAUCGAUAAAAAAGUUUGCGACCUCGAUGUUGGAUUAAGAUAUAUUUUUAGGUGUAGCCGCUUAAAUGUUAAGUCUGUUCGACUUUUAAAUUCUU
RNAcentral lists this ribosomal RNA (513 nucleotides) under Bactrocera zonata. RNAcentral describes it as "partial 16S ribosomal RNA". The stretch from base 389 to 513 matches the Rfam family "Bacterial large subunit ribosomal RNA", at positions 2473 to 2597 of the family's 2925-position model. The record is from RNAcentral. Lineage: Eukaryota; Metazoa; Arthropoda; Insecta; Diptera; Tephritidae.